UAUGGGCCCUCAUGACAAUCUUG
RNAcentral lists this microRNA (23 nucleotides) under Panagrellus redivivus. RNAcentral describes it as "prd-miR-7939i-5p". Lineage: Eukaryota; Metazoa; Nematoda; Chromadorea; Rhabditida; Panagrolaimidae. The record is from miRBase by way of RNAcentral.